CCUACGGGUGGCAGCAGUGGGGAAUAUUGCACAAUGGGCGCAAGCCUGAUGCAGCCAUGCCGCGUGUGUGAAGAAGGCCUUCGGGUUGUAAAGCACUUUCAGCGGGGAGGAAGGCGGUGAGGUUAAUAACCUCAUCGAUUGACGUUACCCGCAGAAGAAGCACCGGCUAACUCCGUGCCAGCAGCCGCGGUAAUGACGGAGGGUGCAAGCGUUAAUCGGAAUUACUGGGCGUAAAGCGCACGCAGGCGGUCUGUCAAGUCGGAUGUGAAAUCCCCGGGCUCAACCGGGGAACUGCAUUCGAAACUGGCAGGCUAGAGUCUUGUAGAGGGGGGUAGAAUUCCAGGUGUAGCGGUGAAAUGCGUAGAGAUCUGGAGGAAUACCGGUGGCGAAGGCGGCCCCCUGGACAAAGACUGACGCUCAGGUGCGAAAGAGUGGGGAGCAAACAGGAUUAGAUACCCGUGUAGUC
RNAcentral lists this ribosomal RNA (466 nucleotides) under uncultured Klebsiella sp. Its description in RNAcentral is "bacterial SSU rRNA". It matches the Rfam family "Bacterial small subunit ribosomal RNA", at positions 338 to 795 of the family's 1533-position model. Lineage: Bacteria; Pseudomonadati; Pseudomonadota; Gammaproteobacteria; Enterobacterales; Enterobacteriaceae. The record is from RNAcentral.